GCAGUGGGGAAUAUUGGACAAUGGGCGCAAGCCUGAUCCAGCCAUGCCGCGUGAGUGAUGAAGGCCUUAGGGUUGUAAAGCUCUUUCAGUAGGGAAGAUAAUGACGGUACCUACAGAAGAAGCCCCGGCUAACUUCGUGCCAGCAGCCGCGGUAAUACGAAGGGGGCUAGCGUUGUUCGGAUUUACUGGGCGUAAAGCGCACGUAGGCGGUUUGUUAAGUCAGAGGUGAAAUCCCGGAGCUCAACUCCGGAACUGCCUUUGAUACUGGCAAGCUAGAGUCCGGAAGAGGUAAGUGGAACUCCUAGUGUAGAGGUGGAAUUCGUAGAUAUUAGGAAGAACACCAGUGGCGAAGGCGGCUUACUGGUCCGGAACUGACGCUGAGGUGCGAAAGCGUGGGGAGCAAACAGGAUUAGA
RNAcentral lists this ribosomal RNA (414 nucleotides) under uncultured bacterium. Its description in RNAcentral is "bacterial SSU rRNA". It matches the Rfam family "Bacterial small subunit ribosomal RNA", at positions 351 to 782 of the family's 1533-position model. The record is from RNAcentral.